GGCCAGACUCCUACGGGAGGCAGCAGUGAGGAAUAUUGGUCAAUGGUCGGGAGACUGAACCAGCCAAGCCGCGUGAGGGAUGAAGGUACAGAGUAUCGUAAACCUCUUUUGUCAGGGAACAAAGGCGGGGACGUGUCCCCGGAUGAGUGUACCUGAAGAAAAAGCAUCGGCUAACUCCGUGCCAGCAGCCGCGGUAAUACGGAGGAUGCGAGCGUUAUCCGGAUUUAUUGGGUUUAAAGGGGGCGCAGGCGGGUGUUUAAGGCACGAGUAAAGGGCCGGGCCCCACCCCCCGCCCCGCCGUUGAAACUGGCAGUCUCGAGUUGGAGAGAAGUAUGCGGAAUGCGCGGUGUAGCGGUGAAAUGCAUAGAUAUCGCGCAGAACUCCGAUUGCGAAGGCAGCAUGCCGGCUCCACACUGACGCUGAGGCACGAAAGCGUGGGUAUCGAACAGGAUUAGAUACCCUCGUAG
RNAcentral lists this ribosomal RNA (467 nucleotides) under uncultured bacterium. Its description in RNAcentral is "bacterial SSU rRNA". It matches the Rfam family "Bacterial small subunit ribosomal RNA", at positions 329 to 793 of the family's 1533-position model. The record is from RNAcentral.